RNAcentral lists this ribosomal RNA (277 nucleotides) under uncultured prokaryote. RNAcentral describes it as "partial 16S ribosomal RNA". It matches the Rfam family "Bacterial small subunit ribosomal RNA", at positions 524 to 800 of the family's 1533-position model. The record is from RNAcentral.
GACGUAGGAGGCAAGCGUUAUCCGGAUUUAUUGGGCGUAAAGGGCAAGUAGGCGGUUCUCAAAGUUGGGCGUGACAUCUCCCGGCUCAACCGGGAGGGUGCGUUCAAAACUAGAGGACUAGAGGGCAGGAGAGGGAAGUGGAAUUCCCAGUGUAGCGGUGGAAUGCUCAGAUAUUGGGAAGAACACCAGUGGCGAAGGCGGCUUCCUGGCCUGCACCUGACGCUGAGAGGCGAAAGCUAGGGUAGCAAACGGGCUUAGAUACCCGUGUAGUCCCUGA